This 872-nucleotide ribosomal RNA is filed under the name uncultured bacterium. Its description in RNAcentral is "bacterial SSU rRNA". It matches the Rfam family "Bacterial small subunit ribosomal RNA", at positions 86 to 935 of the family's 1533-position model. The record is from RNAcentral.
CUGAGUAGAGAGGCGCAAGGGUGAGUAAUACAUGGCUAACGUACCUCCAACACUGGAAUAACAACUGGAAACGGUUGCUAAUGCCGGAUAGUCCCAUUUAACCACAUGGUGUGAUGGGUAAAGGUGGGGAUCCCUUCGGGGACCUCCUGGUUGGAGAGCGGGUCAUGGGCUAUCAGCUUGUUGGUGAGGUAAAGGCUCACCAAGGCUAUGACGGCUAGGCGAUCUGAGAGGAUGAUCGCCCACAUCGGGACUGAGACACUGCCCGGACUCCUACGGGAGGCUGCAGUCGAGAAUCUUCCGCAAUGGACGAAAGUCUGACGGGGCGACGCCGCGUGAGGGACGAAGGCUUUCGGGUUGUAAACCUCUUUCGCCUGUUAAGAACAACCUCUGGCUAAUAAUCAGGGGCCUGACAAAGGCAGGUAAAGAAGCACCGGCUAACUCCGUGCCAGCAGCCACGGUAAUACGGAGGGUGCAAGCGUUACUCGGAAUCACUGGGCGUAAAGCGUACGUAGGCGGCCAGCCAAGUUGGAUGUGAAAUCCCACAGCUUAACUGUGGAACUGCGUCCAAAACUGGUUGGCUCGAGAACAGUAGGGGACAGUGGAACUCAAGGUGGAGCGGUGAAAUGCGUAGAGAUCUUGAGGAACACCGGUGGCGAAAGCGACUGUCUGGGCUGUUUCUGACGCUGAGGUACGAAAGCCAGGGGAGCGAACGGGAUUAGAUACCCCGGUAGUCCUGGCCGUAAACGAUGGGCACUAGCUUGAGGGACCUUCGGGUUUCUCUUGCGUAGCUAACGCGUUAAGUGCCCUGCCUGGGGAGUAUGCGCGCAAGCGUAAAACUCAAAGGAAUUGACGGGGGCUCACACAAGCGGUGG